RNAcentral lists this ribosomal RNA (471 nucleotides) under Triticum aestivum (bread wheat). RNAcentral's name for it is "partial small subunit ribosomal RNA". Lineage: Eukaryota; Viridiplantae; Streptophyta; Magnoliopsida; Poales; Poaceae. The record is from RNAcentral.
AUGACGGGCCUGGACCUGUCGAAUAACAAUUUUUCAGGACCGGUCCCUUCCGACAUUUUACAGCAGGUGCAGCAGCUGACAUCUCUGGAUCUUUCGUACAAUAGCUUUUCGGGACCAAUCCCAGAGAGCAUGUCAAAUAUGACAUAUCUGAAUCUCCUCAACCUUCAGCAUAACCAACUCAGCGGUCAAAUUCCACCGCAAUUCGAUUUGCUUACUCGGUUAACUACGUUCAAUGUUGCGGAGAACUUGUUAUCAGGGCCUGUUCCUACUUCGCUACAAAAGUUUUUGGCUUCAAACUUUGCUGGUAACCAAGGGCUUUGCGAUGCACCUUUAGAUGAGUGCUCCGCUUCGCCGGCCUUCACCGUUAGACCGGUACGAAUCAGGCUGCAGAGGCUCAACGACCAGUCGAACAUCGGAGCAGCCGUUGGAUUCAUCGUGUGGUUCGUGGUGACCUUCUACUUCCUGCAGUGA